CCUACGGGUGGCUGCAGUGGGGAAUAUUGGACAAUGGGGGGAACCCUGAUCCAGCGACGCCGCGUGAGUGAAGAAGUAUUUCGGUAUGUAAAGCUCUAUCAGCAGGGAAGAAAGAAAUGACGGUACCUGACCAAGAAGCCCCGGCUACCUGCGUGCCAGCGGCCGCGGUAAUACGUAGGGGGCAAGCGUUAUCCGGAUUUACUGGGUGUAAAGGGAGCGUAGACGGUAGGACAAGUCUAGAGUGAAAUCCCGGGGCUUAACCCCGGAACUGCUUUGGAAACUGUGCGGCUGGAGUGCAGGAGGGGUAAGCGGAAUUCCUAGUGUAGCGGUGAAAUGCGUAGAUAUUAGGAGGAACACCGGUGGCGAAGGCGGCUUACUGGACUGUAACUGACGUUGAGGCUCGAAAGCGUGGGGAGCAAACAGGAUUAGAUACCCCUGUAGUC
RNAcentral lists this ribosomal RNA (443 nucleotides) under uncultured bacterium. RNAcentral's name for it is "partial 16S ribosomal RNA". It matches the Rfam family "Bacterial small subunit ribosomal RNA", at positions 338 to 795 of the family's 1533-position model. The record is from RNAcentral.